AGUUGAAUUGAUGGGUCACAUGGUAACUCUCAUGGUCAACCUUUUGAGGACUCUCCAGACUAUUUACCAGAGUAGCUACAACAUUUUACAAUUCCCACCACCAGU
RNAcentral lists this microRNA precursor (105 nucleotides) under Marmota monax (woodchuck). The record is from RNAcentral. Lineage: Eukaryota; Metazoa; Chordata; Mammalia; Rodentia; Sciuridae.